UGCAGACUGCAAGACAGGGGCGUAACUUGAAAGAGGCGUAACUUGAAGUAGGAGGCGUAACUUGAAGUUGUCGAAAUCUCACAGAAUCACGCGAGAUGUCAAAACGAUAAGUUGUUGAUUACGUUUUUUAAGGGAAGCAGAGGUUUUAGGCAGGAUUUGAUGCAUAAGGUGUGUGUAGAUAUUAAUGUUAGGGGAGAAUGUGAGUGAUGUGUACAUUUAGUAGGAAAACCUAUUAUCUGAUCCACACUCCGGGACAGAAGAGGGCGGUAUUGCACCAAUAAGCUGGAUGCCAACCGCCGUUAAACUGGAAAGAAGUUACAAUGAGUUACAAUGAUCUUUUGUGGUGGAGCAGGACCUGCAAGGAAAGGGGAAAAAAAAGGAAAAAAACCUGAAACAAAAAGAAUAAAGUAAUGACUUUUUGUAUUGUGUGUGUGUAUUUCUGUAG
Long non-coding RNA from Cyprinus carpio carpio, 445 nucleotides. The record is from Ensembl. NCBI's taxonomy places the organism in Eukaryota, Metazoa, Chordata, Actinopteri, Cypriniformes, Cyprinidae.